UUACACUGCGUAGUUUAUGCUGAUCGUGAGUGGUGAAACGCGAUCUAAGCUGAAUUCGGUAUUUCUCUUCCUAUUUUAUUAAAAAUCGGACCUCUACGGUUUUCGAUGUCUUCAAAAAGUGCUUAGGCCAAGUCUGGACAAUGGCAGCACACAAGACAGGCGGCCAAAGCGCCCGGAAGAAAGUCCAGGUGUCUAUGGUAAUUAGAGACGAAGUUGAACGUAAGCAUAGAGCUGGCGUAAACUCACUGCAGUAUGAUCCAGUAUCGCACAGACUCUAUUCGGCAGGAAGAGACAGUAUAAUUCGAAUAUGGAACUGCAAAAAUAUAAAAGAACCGUACAUCCAGUCAAUGGAACAUCAUACUGACUGGGUGAACGACAUUGUGUCGUGUUGCGGUGGAAAGAAUUUGAUAUCAGCUAGUUCGGACACAACAGUCAAAGUUUGGAAUGCUCACAAAGGCUUUUGUAUGUCUACAUUGCGUACGCAUAAAGAUUAUGUGAAAGCGCUUGCUUAUGCCAAGGACAGAGAACAGGUGGCCAGUGCCGGAUUGGACAGAGCAAUAUUCCUAUGGGAUGUCAACACUCUCACUGCUCUCACUGCUAGCAACAAUACAGUAACCACAUCCUCGUUAACUGGAAAUAAGGACUCUAUUUACAGCCUGGCGAUGAAUCCUUCUGGGACUGUGAUAGUCAGUGGCAGUACCGAGAAAGUGUUGCGUGUCUGGGAUCCCAGGUCAUGUGCAAAAUUGAUGAAGCUCAGGGGGCAUGCGGAUAAUAUUAAAGCUUUGGUGUUAAACAAAGAUGGUACUCAAUGUCUCUCUGCAAGCUCAGACGGUACCAUAAAAUUAUGGUCUCUUGGCCAACAGUGGUGCAUACAAACUUUCAGGGUACACACGGAAGGCGUUUGGGCUUUACUAGCCACGGAUACAUUCAGUCAUGUGAUAUCUGGAGGAAGAGAUAGAAAAGUAAUAAUGACAGAGCUGAGAGCAACUGAGAAAUGUACUGUUAUAUGUGAGGAAAAUGCUCCGAUCCUUAAAAUGGCUAUGACGCCCGAUCAGACCAGCUUGUGGGUAGCAACAAGUGAAUCUACCAUAAAUAAUUGGACAAUUACUCAAAAAGACUGGCAGUGUGGUGACUAUUGCGAAGACGCAAUGGGGAACGGAGGUGGUUUGAGGACUAUGGGACCACGUAACUCGGACCCUGCACAAAAAAUUAUAGGUGGUGCUGCAGUUAGGCAUUGUCAUGUAUUAAAUGACAGAAGACACGUUUUGACUCGGGACACUGAGGAGAAUGUGGCGCUUUAUGAUGUCUUGAAAGCUGUCAAAGUCGUUGAUCUUGGACGAGUAGACUUUGAGCAGGAAGUGAAGAAGAGAAAUAAGACUGUAUAUGUCCCUAACUGGUUCAAUGUCGACCUCAAAACCGGGAUGCUGACAAUACACUUGGGCCAGGACGAAAAUGACUGUUUUUCUGCAUGGGUGUCUGCAAAAGAAACGAACUUGGCUGACAACGAUGCUGUUGACCAAAAAGUAAACUAUGGAAAUCUACUACUUCAAGCACUUCUGGAGCACUGGUGGAGGCCGUUACAUGGUGAUGAUGAAAAUGAAGGAAAUGGUAAUGACGGGAAUGGUCCAACGCAUACGAGAGGAGGGAAUCCAUAUUUCUCAGUACCUGGACAUACGCCUGUUAUCUUCAGUGAGGUCGGUGGCAGGACUCUGUACAGAUUGCUCGUUCGCGAUGCAGCUGGAGAAACGGAAGGCGUUCUUCUAAAUGAGACUGUCCCUCCCUGGGUGGUGGACAUCGUUGUGGAUAAAAAUCUACCGAAAUUUAUUAAAAUUCCCUUCUACCUUUUGCCACACUCCACCUCUGGGGUGAAGAGUUUGAAAAAGGAUCGCCUGAUUGCCAAUGACUUUAUACAGGUACGCAAAGUUGCCGAACACGUCUAUGAUAAGGUAUUGGGGGCUGGAAGUGAUUCAGGUUCAGUUACUGGUGCUGGAAAUACGGUAUCAGGUGGAUCUCCAGCUGGAGAUAGAACGAACGCUGACUCAAACACGGAUAACACAUCGUUGGCAGAAGAGAAAGUUGAGUUGCUCUGCAAUGACCAGGUUUUGGAUCCAUCUAUGGACUUGAGAACGGUGAGACAUUUCAUAUGGAAGAGUUCUGCCGAUUUAACACUCCAUUAUCGACCAAUCAAAUAGUUAAAACCUGGACCAGAGCCCUCGAAGACUUAUCGAUAUACAUUGCGACACUAUGGCAUUACGGCCAAUAAAACUCUGAUGCGUAGGUAUGGCGAUAGAAUUUUAAGCUGUCUGUCGUCACUAUUCAAGUUUUCACUACACACCUUGAUGAUAUUACUAGAUAUUACCAUUACUAGAUAUUGGGACAACGAAACAAUUCUUGUCAAUGGAAGUACGCUACAUAUUAAAACUCUGACAUCUGCAGAAGCACACAGAAAUUGGGAAAUUUACUAAGUUCAGUUUAAUUAAUUCAUUGAGAUACGUAAUGGAUGUUUAAAACUUGAGAUCAACUUCAAACUUCGAGUGGGCAGUGACUGUUUGGAAAUGAAAUUAGAUAAGGCCAAGGUUGGGAUGUUCGAUGACCACUUGAGUAGAUAAUUUCAUAGUCGACUAUUCCAUUGUAUUCGUUAAGUAUGAAUGGGCUUCACCAUCUGAAUCACAAGUUGGUAAAAAGAAGAAACGUUAAAAAAAAAUUCAGCUAUAUUAUAUGCGCCAAUGAAGACGAAUGAAACAACGUCUCUAUGAUGCAAUGAAAAUGAAUCUAAACAAAUUCGAAUAACAUAAGCUAUCAACAAAGUGAGAAAAUUUUUUGUAAUUAAAACGUUCAGAAUGAUUGAACUGGUGUUUUUUUUUUAUCGUAUUCUAAUGUUUUUGAGAUUAUUUUAUUUAUCGGAUCGCCUGAAAAACAUUUCACAAAUAAUUAUGUCUGGAGUUGAUGAAAACAGAUUUGUGUAAGUAUUGCAUUACAGAUGUUCAUGAACAGUUACGUUUGUCCAUCAUACCUACACUAUAACGUAAGAUUUCCGGAAUGGUUUUGCAAUAAUCCGUGAGGAUUCGAGAAUGAGGAGGUCAGCGAGCAACACGAACCUGAAGACACUAGAAUCGGAUAAAAAAUACCGGAGUUUAAUCAUAUUCAACGUUUCAAUUAUAAAACCAUUUUUCAAAUGGUUUAUAUUCUAGCUUGUAUUAUUUGCAUUUGCUCAAAUUUAUUUCUUUCAGAUCUUAGGAUUAUAUUUUUAUUCGUGGUUACUAUCAAUGGUGCUAAUAACAUUGAUGGAGAUUCGUUGUACCGUCUUUUUUUUAUUUUUAACUUUUGACUUGGACCUUAUUCAUCUGCAGAAAUUACGGGUAGCUGAAAAGUACAUCGGAUGAAUGUAGUGCUAGAUUUUGUUAAUUUCAUAAUUCUAACUAGAAUGAAUCUGUAUAGAGUGUUAAUAAAAUAUUUUCGAAUGCAUCAGUUUCACUUGCGAUGAAUGUAUUGACAAGAUUCUUAAAAAUUCAUACAUUCAAACUAGUUUAAUGACGAUGAUACCGAUAAUGUAAUAUCUUAUUAUGUUCACGUAAGUCGUACCAUUCACGAAAAAUUCACAUGUCAUUUGUAAAUAGUCUUUCCUGUCUAUGUACAUGUGAGUAUAUAAUUGUAACAAUGAAAAUUUUCGAAAGAAACAUUUUGUAAGCUAGCGGGCAUGAAACAUUUUCAUUAGUUUAAAAAUAUUGUCUAUCACUUGAAGAUUUGCUUUGCAAUCAGUUUCAGGUAACUCAUCAUCGCCGUGCGCCACCUUUGUCAUCUCAUUUAGCCAAAAAGUUUUUGCCUUUUUAGUGAUCUUUGCCAAAUGUAACAUAUAGGAUAUGUAAAAUUGAAUAAUCCUUAAAACGAGUAAUUGUGGUGCUUUUUUCAUGUAAGCCAAAAUCUCUCUUGUCUAUUAGGCGGUUUCACUAACAACUGCAGUCUAAACAGACAAAAUAAAACCUUAUGAAGCCGAGAAAUAAAUACAUGUCAAUUUAUAAUCAAUCAAACUGUAUCUAAGCAGCCAAAGUAAUGUUAAACAUUCGCCAAAUAGUUUUACGAAAUGAUGGGUCACACACACUAAUUAGUCUAUGGUUAUGUUUGUCUAUACUGUGUUUCAAUUUUUUAAAGAAGUACUGUUAUUGCAUUUACUGUUGAAGAAAAAUUUACAAUCAAGGAGAUGCUACAUUUGAGUAAAUAACCAUGAUUGCAGGUUUUCGGAUGUCGAUUGGACGGAGUAUCAAAUUAAAUUUCCCUCGACCACUCGAUAUUUUAGAUGUUGUAUAAUGGCGCUGGUGUUGAAAGGACGUCUGUUUUCAACUACCUUACCCAUAGAGCAACCAAGUUUCUCCAACGUUGAUGGAUUUCUGUAGCAAGUCCCAUUUCAUGAAUUGUAGAUUGUUGAAUGCCUGAAAGACAUAGUAGAUUAUGCACCAAGAGAAUAAUCAGCUUUAUUCCCGUGUUGAAAAUAGGAUUUUAUUUCCAACUUAACUGUGACCAAAUUAUAGUAGAUCAAUAGUGUUUACUCCAUUAGUGUUGGUAGAUUUUAUUGACUCCGUUCAAGCGUAAUCAGGAAAUGUACGAGUAAGGCAUUUUCUCGAUGAGAAGAAAAAAAUUCAACUACGUUGUAUUUCUCAUUGGGAAAGUCAUUCUACACUCAUAGUGACAUUAUUAAUUAUUUAGCAUCCUUUGACAAACAUAGCACUCAAACUUUGUUCAAAUCUUAAUUCAAAGACUAUUUUGCUCUGCUACUUGUUUGAAUGGGAUGAUUUUUUUAUGGAGAUUAAAGGAAACCUCCGUUGAAACUAAUAGAAGUCAUCAUUACCGCACGUUAAUUGUAAGGAAGUUAUGCCGAUGAGAAAAAUAACAGAAAGUGCAGCUUUUCCUUGAACAUUUAUUAUCUUACGUAUUAAAAAAAAAAACUCUUAGAAAUCGAAAAUAUUACAUAUUUCGCGACGUUAAAGUUAUUGCACCUUGUUAUUAGUUAUAUGAUUUUUCAGAUCCAUUUAGAACAUAAGAAAUUCAUAUUUGUAAAUAUUGUAGGCUGUAGAUUGAUAUUGUCCAAUAAAUAAGAAUCUACAGAU
RNAcentral lists this unclassified non-coding RNA (5102 nucleotides) under Neodiprion pinetum (white pine sawfly). Its description in RNAcentral is "wD repeat-containing protein 48, transcript variant X1". Lineage: Eukaryota; Metazoa; Arthropoda; Insecta; Hymenoptera; Diprionidae. The record is from RNAcentral.